AUACGUAGGUGGCGAGCGUUGUCCGGAAUUACUGGGCGUAAAGGAUGCGUAGGUGGAUACUUAAGUGGGAUGUGAAAUCCCCCGGGCUCAACCCGGGAACUGCAUUCCAAACUGGGUACCUAGAGUGCAGGAGAGGAAAGCGGAAUUCCUAGUGUAGCGGUGAAAUGCGUAGAUAUUAGGAGGAACACCAGUGGCGAAGGCGGCUUUCUGGACUGUAACUGACACUGAGGCAUG
This 234-nucleotide ribosomal RNA is filed under the name uncultured bacterium. Its description in RNAcentral is "partial 16S ribosomal RNA". It matches the Rfam family "Bacterial small subunit ribosomal RNA", at positions 523 to 755 of the family's 1533-position model. The record is from RNAcentral.